RNAcentral lists this ribosomal RNA (908 nucleotides) under uncultured bacterium. RNAcentral describes it as "bacterial SSU rRNA". It matches the Rfam family "Bacterial small subunit ribosomal RNA", at positions 33 to 932 of the family's 1533-position model. The record is from RNAcentral.
ACGCUGGCGGCAGGCUUAACACAUGCAAGUCGAACGGUAACAGGGAUUAGCUUGCUAAUCUGCUGACGAGUGGCGGACGGGUGAGUAAUGCUUGGGAAUCUGGCUUAUGGAGGGGGAUAACUACGGGAAACUGUAGCUAAUACCGCGUAAAAUCUUCGGAUUAAAGGGUGGGACUUUCGAGCCACCUGCCAUAAGAUGAGCCCAAGUGGGAUUAGGUAGUUGGUUAGGUAAAGGCUGACCAAGCCGACGAUCUCUAGCUGGUCUGAGAGGAUGACCAGCCACACUGGAACUGAGACACGGUCCAGACUCCUACGGGAGGCAGCAGUGGGGAAUAUUGCACAAUGGGGGGAACCCUGAUGCAGCCAUGCCGCGUGAAUGAAGAAGGCCUUCGGGUUGUAAAGUUCUUUCGGUGACGAGGAAGGUUGGUAGGUUAAUAGCCUAUCAAAUUGACGUUAAUCACAGAAGAAGCACCGGCUAACUCCGUGCCAGCAGCCGCGGUAAUACGGGGGGUGCGAGCGUUAAUCGGAAUAACUGGGCGUAAAGGGCACGCAGGCGGUGACUUAAGUGAGAUGUGAAAGCCCCGAGCUUAACCUGGGAAUUGCAUUUCAUACUGGGUCGCUAGAGUACUUUAGGGAGGGGUAGAAUUCCACGUGUAGCGGUGAAAUGCGUAGAGAUGUGGAGGAAUACCGAAGGCGAAGGCAGCCCCUUGGGAAUGUACUGACGCUCAUGUGCGAAAGCGUGGGGAGCAAACAGGAUUAGAUACCCUGGUAGUCCACGCUGUAAACGAUGUCGAUUUGGGGAUUGGGCUUUGAGCUUGGUGCCCGUAGCUAACGUGAUAAAUCGACCGCCUGGGGAGUACGGCCGCAAGGUUAAAACUCAAAUGAAUUGACGGGGGCCCGCACAAGCGG